Molecule: long non-coding RNA, 1465 nt
Filed under: Elaeis guineensis (African oil palm)
Lineage: Eukaryota; Viridiplantae; Streptophyta; Magnoliopsida; Arecales; Arecaceae
Description: long non-coding RNA (EGUI_LNC020573)
Source: RNAcentral
AAAGCAUCUAUCUCUGUCUCCUGACUUCUUGACGCAAUUCAGUAUACUAAUUCAUUUGCUUUUAGUAUUUUUUUCACUAGCAAAACAUACUCUAUUCUCAAUUAUUGAUGUUCUACUCAUAAAUCUUCAUACUAGCAUCUACUCUUUAAUAUGCAUACUUAUAUUCUUUAUCAUCGUAAUUCACAUCUUUAAUUUUCAAACUAAAAUGCCUUUUGAAAUAAAUUAAAAGCAUAAGCAGCGAUCUUUUCCUUUGAUUCUUGUUGCUCUACUCUACUCGGCCAUCACUGACUUCAACUUUAUGAGACUCAUUCUCCUCUCCAACUCACCACAAUAUUUACAUUUGAUUGCACAUACUAUCCAUACUGCUCUUUAUAUUGUUUACGCCCAUACACAGAUUUAAGUAAUCUUAAGUUUUUAGUUACCUCAACUAAAAUAAUCUUUUGAGAUACUUCAACCAUCUCCAUUGCUCUAUAAUUACCACCAUAAAAAAUUAAUUAUCAAUAUGAAAUGACUAUUGUUAUAUAUAUUAAGAUGAAUUCCAAUUAGAUUAUAAAUAUAUAUGAAAUAAUUAUCUGGUUCUAGGGUCAAUCAUCAUAAAUUGCAUAUCAAAAAUUUUCACAGAACCUACAGGUUAUAAUUCCACCAUACUUAUGCUGCGCUACUCUAAUCCAUUCUUUUUGCUAAAUAUUAAAUAUUUAUGAAAAUCAUUCUUAUUUUCAAAUAUCCAUAUUGCACAUGCCAAUACCGUCUUAAAUAUUUGAGUUUAUUUUAUCUUCUUUUGCUUUGAAACUAUAAAUCAUAACCUUAUAUUUUUGUAUUAUUCUAAAAUUUUCAACAUACUUUAAUCCUUAAUGGUUGCAACCUAGUUCUCUAUUCAUUGACAUAAUAUCAUACAAACCAUCAUCCACAUAGGAGUACUAUCUCAUCUUCCACCAAUUGGUUGAUAACAUUCAGUAUAACAAGAAAAUAUAAAGAUUCAUAUAUUUUGCUUAUCACAAAAACUAUCAACAAUAUAAAUAUAUUCAACUUAUUAGGCAAAAAGACCAACAACUCAUAACCAAACUACUUAAAUAAUACUUAAUAGAUAACAUCCAAUAUGGUGAUGACAUAUGACCAUAAAGUGAUUUCACCAUACUAUAAUCAUUAAUAUUACUCAUAAUAUUUAUAACACCAUUGAUGCCAUUUUCAAUUUAUGCUGAAACAUCAUAAAGAUUUUAUUGUAAAAUACCACAUAAAUCAAGAUAUAGGAUUACUAAUAAUUCAUAGUAUCACAAGAAAUUAUAUCUUAAGUUCUGAUAACUAUCUCGCUUACACUCAACCUACAUUGCAUAUAAUUGAACCUAUGUCUUCCAAUACUACAUGUGCCACAAUCCCUAGUAAUCACAAACCCAACUUCUAAUAUCACUUAAGUCACAAUCUUUAAUGAUCAUAACUUGAGCUUUAAUACUAUUUCUGUCAUGCCCCA